Molecule: long non-coding RNA, 493 nt
Filed under: Fukomys damarensis (Damara mole-rat)
Lineage: Eukaryota; Metazoa; Chordata; Mammalia; Rodentia; Bathyergidae
Description: lncRNA (ENSFDAG00000022672.1)
Source: RNAcentral
GUCUAGGGGGUCUCAGGAAGGGUGGUUACCAGGGGAAGAUGGCCUAAUAUAGUCACCCAAUUAUUUCUGUGCCCUCAAGGAAGACACUGGCUCAGGAAUGAAGUCAGCUCUCCCAGAGGAACAGAGAAGCAUAACAGCAUCCAUUCACCACUGGAAAGUAACAAAGCAGUAACCCGAUAGAUGACAAAUAUCGCAAGCUUAAUGGCUGUUGUCCAUUCCUGAUGGGUCUCGGCACUCCGGGGGAGACUGGCACUGAAAGAUUACUGAGCAAACAGAGCACCUGAAAAACCUUGCACUCCACAGUCUGUCACCAGGGCUCUGAUCUAGGGCAUUACCUGCAAACGGCGGUUCUUAUCUGAAGCUGCAAACUGCCGCCACUACCAACAAUUCUCAAGAAAGACUGGCGGUCGUGAAAGGCUGAGCUACUGAGGCAGGCAGCUGGGGACGCCACCUCCAAUAGCCGAAGCCCUUUACGGAUCCCCUGAGACCAAGC